GAAAGAACUGGGCAUGCUUAUCUCCGCCGUCCUCUUCUUCCUGAGUGAAGUGUACGCAGAAGGCAUGGCUUCUCAGCUGUUCCUCUAAGCAGCGGCUCUUUCCACCCAUCUGGAGAUUUAGAUUCUAGAGUUCGGUAUCACAUUUGCCUGCAGAUUUGUUAAGAAUGCAGGCAGGGAAGACGGAUUCUGUUCAAUGACCCCCUUCAAGACUCCAGUGAAGUUCAGGAUCUGGCAGAGGGGAUGGAUUUAUAUAGAAGUGGGGCAACUGACACACAGAGGUAUUAAGCCCAAGGUCACUCUGUCCAUGAAUGAUGAAGCCAGUUGUGAACAGCCUACAACCAGAGCCUGGGCUCUUAAAUAUCAGGCUUUGCUGGCUUUGAUGAGUAGAUCUUUAUAUGAAGGGUGAGCUCCUUGAAGCAAAGGACAGUGUGUGAAAGACUUCACAUCUCCUGCACCUUGAACAGAAUGCAGAACUUAAGAGUACACACACACACCAAAGUUCACUGAAUGGUUUAAAGAGACCCAAAUCCAUUCUAGAGCUUGCUUUACAUUGUACCAUAUAGUGAGCAACAUUUCCUUAUGAUGAAAGGGUACUUUUCC
RNAcentral lists this long non-coding RNA (600 nucleotides) under Homo sapiens (human). RNAcentral describes it as "HSALNT0141807". Lineage: Eukaryota; Metazoa; Chordata; Mammalia; Primates; Hominidae. The record is from RNAcentral.